This 69-nucleotide transfer RNA is filed under the name Kryptoperidinium foliaceum. The record is from RNAcentral. Lineage: Eukaryota; Dinophyceae; Peridiniales; Kryptoperidiniaceae.
GGGCGUCGAUACCGCCCUGCUCGGCUGCACGCACUUCCCACUGAUCGAGCCGCUGUGGCGAGCGGCCCU